RNAcentral lists this ribosomal RNA (210 nucleotides) under Triticum aestivum (bread wheat). Its description in RNAcentral is "partial small subunit ribosomal RNA". The record is from RNAcentral. Lineage: Eukaryota; Viridiplantae; Streptophyta; Magnoliopsida; Poales; Poaceae.
AUGGACGCCGUCGACUCCGUGGUGGACCCCCUCCGCGAGUUCGCCAAGGACAGCGUCCGCCUCGUCAAGCGCUGCCACAAGCCCGACCGCAAGGAGUUCACCAAGGUGGCGGCGCGGACGGUGAUCGGGUUCGUCGUCAUGGGGUUCAUCGGCUUCUUCGUCAAGCUCAUCUUCAUCCCCAUCAACAACAUCAUCGUCGGCUCCGGCUAG